GAACGCUAGCUACAGGCUUAACACAUGCAAGUCGAGGGGCAGCAUGAGGUUUGCUUGCAAACCUUGAUGGCGACCGGCGCACGGGUGAGUAACGCGUAUCCAACCUUCCCAUAACUGGAGAAUAACCCGGUGAAAGCCGGACUUAAUACCCCAUAAUCCCCGUUGACGGCAUCCGAUUCGGGGCAAAGUUUUUUUCGGCAGCGGAUGGGGAUGCGUCCGAUUAGUUUGUUGGUGAGGUAACGGCUCACCAAGGCUUUGAUCGGUAGGGGUUCUGAGAGGAAGGCCCCCCACAUUGGGACUGAGACACGGCCCAAACUCCUACGGGAGGCAGCAGUGAGGAAUAUUGGUCAAUGGGCGUAAGCCUGAACCAGCCAAGUAGCGUGGAGGACGACUGCCCUAUGGGUUGUAAACUCCUUUUAUGCGGGGAUAAAAUGUUUCACGUGUGAGAUAUUGCAGGUACCGCAUGAAUAAGGACCGGCUAAUCC
Molecule: ribosomal RNA, 485 nt
Filed under: uncultured bacterium
Lineage: Bacteria
Description: bacterial SSU rRNA
Rfam family: Bacterial small subunit ribosomal RNA
Source: RNAcentral